CCUACGGGAGGCAGCAGUGGGGAAUUUUGGACAAUGGGCGAAAGCCUGAUCCAGCAAUGCCGCGUGAGUGAAGAAGGCCUUCGGGUUGUAAAGCUCUUUUGUCAGGGAAGAAACGGUGAGAGCUAAUAUCUCUUGCUAAUGACGGUACCUGAAGAAUAAGCACCGGCUAACUACGUGCCAGCAGCCGCGGUAAUACGUAGGGUGCAAGCGUUAAUCGGAAUUACUGGGCGUAAAGCGUGCGCAGGCGGUUUUGUAAGUCUGUCGUGAAAUCCCCGGGCUCAACCUGGGAAUUGCGAUGGAGACUGCAAGGCUAGAAUCUGGCAGAGGGGGGUAGAAUUCCACGUGUAGCAGUGAAAUGCGUAGAGAUGUGGAGGAACACCGAUGGCGAAGGCAGCCCCCUGGGUCAAGAUUGACGCUCAUGCACGAAAGCGUGGGGAGCAAACAGGAUUAGAUACCCUGGUAGUCCACGCCCUAAACGAUGUCUACUAGUUGUCGGGUUUUAAUUAACUUGGUAACGCAGCUAACGCGUGAAGUGACCGCCUGGGGAUACGGUCGCAAGAUUAAAACUCAAANAGAGUAGAGNGNGAGAGNGCGACGACGACGACGAGGGAGGAGG
Molecule: ribosomal RNA, 616 nt
Filed under: uncultured bacterium
Lineage: Bacteria
Description: bacterial SSU rRNA
Rfam family: Bacterial small subunit ribosomal RNA
Source: RNAcentral